CCUACGGGUGGCAGCAGUGAGGAAUAUUGGUCAAUGGACGAGAGUCUGAACCAGCCAAGUAGCGUGAAGGAUGACUGCCCUAUGGGUUGUAAACUUCUUUUAUAUGGGAAUAAAAUGUUCCACGUGUGGGAUUUUGUAUGUACCAUAUGAAUAAGGAUCGGCUAACUCCGUGCCAGCAGCCGCGGUAAUACGGAGGAUCCGAGCGUUAUCCGGGUUUAUUGGGUUUAAAGGGAGCGUAGGUGGAUUGUUAAGUCAGUUGUGAAAGUUUGCGGCUCAACCGUAAAAUUGCAGUUGAAACUGGCAGUCUUGAGUACAGUAGAGGUGGGCGGAAUUCGUUGUGUAGCGGUGAAAUGCUUAGAUAUCACGAAGAACUCCGAUUGCGAAGGCAGUUCACUGGACUGCAACUGACACUGAGGCUCGAAAGUGUGGGUAUCAAACAGGAUUAGAUACCCCUGUAGUC
RNAcentral lists this ribosomal RNA (460 nucleotides) under uncultured bacterium. RNAcentral's name for it is "partial 16S ribosomal RNA". It matches the Rfam family "Bacterial small subunit ribosomal RNA", at positions 338 to 795 of the family's 1533-position model. The record is from RNAcentral.